AAUGAAAUUAUAUCAAUCCUAUUCUUCGAAAACAAAUUCAAGAGACUAUCUGAUAGCUUCAGAUGUGCCAGGUUGUUCUUGGAUUAUGGUUUUAAACUCAGUCUUUUGGUUCUAUUCAAGGCUUGCUUUAUUUGUCUAGUACCCCUUUCAGUCAGAUGCAAACACAUAGAAAUGCAUAGUGUUACAUAUUUGGAGUGUCCGCACCCUUUUGGACAAAAGCUAGUUUUUAGGGUCCUACAUCAAAUAGGAAAUGAAAGUUUGACCUCCAAGUAUUAAAACCUAUAUCUUUCAUGAUGAAAGAGGUGCUCAAGCUGCUUUGUGGGAUCCAUUAUUCUGUAUGGAAGGAAAUGAGAUUCACAGUAAGAUGAAAACCAAGAGAGAAAUGAAUUUUGCUGAUGGCUAGGGCACCCAUACCCGAGUAUGGAACUCAGGUCUAAUUAUUUCUAUUUUAUUCUUUUGUGACUGUUUAAUGCAAGUAUAUAAUUAAUCCAGACAACAGAAAAAGGGACCUCUUAUUUUGCUUGAGGGUCCUAAACAUAGAUUUGUCUGCAGCCUGCAGGCCUGCAGCCUCUAGAAUCUUAUCUAAAAGUUUGCUCCAGAUACCCAUUGUUUUAAACGAAAAUGAUUGUGCAGGUUGUAUUAAAUAUUCUUUCAUAUUUGGUAUACUAAGGUAUACUAAGAACACAAUGAAAGCACCAAAAGUUAGGAAAAGUGCACUGUUGCCUACAUUAUGAAACUAGACUACACUUAGCUCUGGAAUGUUCUCUGAGAUGCUUUGGCCUAUUCAAAGGCUGCACCUUGGGCAUAACCUACAGCAAAACAUCACAGAAUCACAGGCAAGCUUAUAAGCAAAAGUUGUGUUCCUACAGAUCAUAAGGAAAUACUUAAGAGGUUAAUCUGGGUUCCGUGAUUACACACUUGACUUUAAGUGUUUUUAGUUUGAGUAAAAUCUACUGCAGGUAUUUAAGUUUAUCACAUAAUAUACCUCCUGGACCUUCAUAUUAAGUUGAACUACCUUUUAAAUUUGCAUACAGAUCUGAUUCUGGACAUUAGGUCUCCUGUGUAGACUCUCCAUAUAUUUCAAAACAUCUAAGAGGGAAAUUAACAAUAUAAUUAAAAUGCACUUAAUUGACUCUUUAAAAUGUCAUUUAUGAUUCUAUUUUGUAAUGUUCAAGUAAAAUAAAGAUAUAUUAGGUGCUUAUACA
RNAcentral lists this long non-coding RNA (1205 nucleotides) under Anser cygnoides (Swan goose). Its description in RNAcentral is "lncRNA (ENSACDG00005009703.1)". Lineage: Eukaryota; Metazoa; Chordata; Aves; Anseriformes; Anatidae. The record is from RNAcentral.